ACGUAGGAGGCAAGCGUUAUCCGGGGUUACUGGGCGUAAAGGGCGUGUAGGCGGCACGGUAAGUCAACCGUGAAAGCUCCCGGCUUAACUGGGAGAGGUCGUUCAAAACUGGGGGGCUUGAGGUUGGAAGAGGAGAGCGGAAUUCCCGGUGUAGUGGUGGAAUGCGUAGAUAUCGGGAGGAACACCAGUGGCGAAAGCGGCUCUCUGGUUCAAUACUGACACUGAGAUGCGAAAGCGUGGGGAGCGAACGG
RNAcentral lists this ribosomal RNA (251 nucleotides) under uncultured prokaryote. RNAcentral's name for it is "partial 16S ribosomal RNA". It matches the Rfam family "Bacterial small subunit ribosomal RNA", at positions 525 to 775 of the family's 1533-position model. The record is from RNAcentral.